CGGAUCACCUCUCGGACUACUUGUCCCAGGCACGGAUUCUCUGCAGAGGGCAUAGAAGUCAGGGCAUUGGUGGUCUAGGUGGCCAGCAGGACCAUGAACAGUUCCCAGGUAUAAAAUGUGGAAAAGUCCUCGAGGCACGGGGUGGACUGCCUGGGAUCCUGGUGGCAGGGAGCAAGACUUCUCAGUGUCCAUGCAGGAGAAAGAUCCCCCAAGCCUCUCAAGACCACAGAAGGCACUAUGUUCCUGAGAAGCCUCCUCUUUCUUGUCAUCUGGAGACACCUAGAGAAGCAGACAAGUAUCUGUGUGGGACUUGCACAUUUUCUGGGACAGAGCAAACCACAAAGCCUCAUUCUGUACCUGAGUUUCCCGGGAAUGAAUUCUGGUUGACACUUCCUAGCUGCUUGACCUUGACAUUGGCAGUUGUGGAGAUUAAAUGAGAUUAUACAAGCACUCACUCUCAGGACCAAAGUGCAACAAAUCAGCAGUGCACCCUGGUCAACGGCAGACACCAGCUCCUAGCUGAAUGUCUGGAAAAUGUGGAUUUCAAGAGACGGUUGACUACACCUGAAGGAAGCAUAAACACAAUGCAAGCGCCUCUCUGCCAGCCUCAAACACCACUAGGUCUACAGGGGCCCUAAAGGAGGAAGCUCUGGGCCCAGGCUCCAUUCGGACCUCCCAUUUUUCUACCCACGAACACCCCUCCCCAUGGAAUAGUCUGUGCCAGGCUAAGCAGGGCACAGUGCUUGGGCCAAAGGCACACAGAGGAAGUUCUUCCUGGAAAACCUUGGAAGAAAGAAAUGGAUGGCCCCAGAGGACACAGCGAUGAUGCUGACAAUGGACAGAAAACUGCUCAGCUGAGAAAGGAAGAGACAUAUCUACCCAAGGGAGUUACUGGAGUUUCAGAGAUCAUAUGAAGAGCUGUGCUUAAGACCGGAAGUUCUGGAGCCAGGCUGUGUGAGUCAAACCUGACUUUGUCGCUUACCAGCUGUGUGACUAAGGGCAAAGCAAUUUACCCUCUCUGUGCUUCAGCCUCUAUUGUAAAACAGGUAUGAGAAUAAAAAGGCUUGCCAC
Molecule: long non-coding RNA, 1071 nt
Organism: Pan troglodytes (chimpanzee)
Lineage: Eukaryota; Metazoa; Chordata; Mammalia; Primates; Hominidae
Exons: 6
Source: RefSeq, a predicted model, not a curated record